UUGGGUGCAGCUGCAUUUCAUCUGGUC
RNAcentral lists this non-coding RNA (27 nucleotides) under Homo sapiens (human). Lineage: Eukaryota; Metazoa; Chordata; Mammalia; Primates; Hominidae. The record is from RNAcentral.